GCAUCGACCAGAGGGAAAAGGAGCAAUCCGCUUUGAGAUGGCCUCGCGUCCGAUUAGCUAGUUGGUGAGGUAACGGCCCACCAAGGCAACGAUCGGUAGCCGGACUGAGAGGUUGAACGGCCACAUUGGGACUGAGACACGGCCCAGACUCCUACGGGAGGCAGCAGUGGGGAAUAUUGCACAAUGGGGGAAACCCUGAUGCAGCGACGCCGCGUGGAGGAAGAAGGUCUUCGGAUUGUAAACUCCUGUUGUUGAGGAAGAUAAUGACGGUACUCAACAAGGAAGUGACGGCUAACUACGUGCCAGCAGCCGCGGUAAAACGUAGGUCACAAGCGUUGUCCGGAAUUACUGGGUGUAAAGGGAGCGCAGGCGGGAAGACAAGUUGGAAGUGAAAUCCAUGGGCUCAACCCAUGAACUGCUUUCAAAACUGUUUUUCUUGAGUAGUGCAGAGGUAGGCGGAAUUCCCGGUGUAGCGGUGGAAUGCGUAGAUAUCGGGAGGAACACCAGUGGCGAAGGCGGCCUACUGGGCACCAACUGACGCUGAGGCUCGAAAGUGUGGGUAGCAAACAGGAUUAGAUACCCUGGUAGUCCACACCGUAAACGAUGAUUACUAGGUGUUGGAGGAUUGACCCCUUCAGUGCCG
RNAcentral lists this ribosomal RNA (643 nucleotides) under uncultured bacterium. RNAcentral's name for it is "bacterial SSU rRNA". It matches the Rfam family "Bacterial small subunit ribosomal RNA", at positions 188 to 848 of the family's 1533-position model. The record is from RNAcentral.